Cephus cinctus (wheat stem sawfly) is the source of this 3869-nucleotide long non-coding RNA. RefSeq lists it as uncharacterized. NCBI's taxonomy places the organism in Eukaryota, Metazoa, Arthropoda, Insecta, Hymenoptera, Cephidae. The record is from RefSeq and is a predicted model, not a curated record. The transcript has 6 exons.
GGUAGGUGCGCACUGCACGACCGUCGCCGCCGUCGUUUCGUGCCGCAGGAAAUGACGCUCGUCAAUCAUACCCUGUGUCACACGCGAUCCGUGUAUGACACUCUGGUUACAAGCUGUGCCCUUUAUCCGUACGACGUGGACUCAACACAAAACUUCAUAGCCCGGCCAGCCUUUUGUGAAUGUUACUACGGAGAAACGAUGGAAUAAAACUCUCACAGGGAAUAUUUACACCGUGUAUACGCCAUGGGUCCGUGGAGUGGAUUAUGCAUUUUAUUGCAGGAAGAUGCAUCGUGAAUUUCCCAAGAGAUGACGCGCACUCAAGGUGCGAAAAGUCUUGCUGAUGCCUCCAGUGAAUCUUGAUUCUCGGCUGCCAGCAGAAAACAGGAGGCAGUGAUUUACGCUCAGCCACGCCAGUGGAUAUUAAGGGGUUGGCGUGCAGGUCGGUCAUGUCGUAAGUCGUGGUGCGCUCAUUACUUAGCGCUAGUGUCAGCUCGUGAUUGAUGUCCUACUUACCCCGAGUUAUCGAGCAAAUGCUGCCGCCACUCCUGGUGGCAGUCUGAAGAACCCUGGCACGACCCCUGCGGCAGGCGGUGUUGUCGGGUCACGGGGAUUAGAGGUGACUCCCUUAGCCACCACCAGGACGAGCCACCUCUGACUCCUCCACGAAGAACCAUCCACCCCCGUACCCCAAACACGGCAACCCUGCUAAUUCAAUCCGUGCACCCCCCUGGGGAUUUCGCGGACGGGGAUGCGGUUCAGCCCCGGUGCAAAAGGGGGAUGAGAUUCUGCUACGGUAUUGAGGGUCGAGAACUAUCAAGUUGGGACGGGACAGCAGCUGCACCCUGUCCGACGUGUUCGACGCUGGAUAAACUGAUCGUUUUCUUGUCCACAUCGUUCUCCCACGUGUCAGGGGUGGUUUCGACUUCGGCUAGACAUAAAUAAUCCAAAGAACUGUCCCGUUGGAUUUCUUGGAUAAAGACUCACUCGACCACCAAUCCAUACCGAACAUCCUCCAUGUCUUAUAAAAUCAAAUCACAUAUCCACUUCAUCUUUAUACCCUUCGUAGAACCUGAUCAUCAUUGCAGUCACAAAAAAAAUCUAAAACGCUAACAUAUUCAAAUAUUUUCAAUUCACGUUUUAUUGUAUAUUCCAAUAUCAGUAAUGCCAAUAAUUCAACAAAUUCAUUUCUAUUUGUACCAUUCAUUCGCAGGAGCCAACAUUAUAGAUACAAAUAUGCAGAGAUUUGUCGCAUGCUAAAAUUGUAGCAGUCGGUACAGCAGAUCCCUAUAUAAACUACUAGGUGAUGUCUGGCGACGCGAGGAUAGUAGGUGGUAGGCAGAGGACGUAUGGCAUCGCGAUGCUCUGACAGCUUGUCGAGGAGAAGCGAGGCGUACUCACUCCGACAGACGUUUUCUCAUUUUCUCUAUUUACGUUGCCGACGACGUGAGCGGAUAAUGUCUCUUCGCCCCAUCGCCAAGUCGUUAUAUAUAUAGGGUCUAGUAACACGGAACGUCACUACCACGUUCCCAUAAAACCUCACCGUCAACCUCGACGCAGUCGUCGCGACGCAACCUUUACAAUAUAUCUACGGCACCACUCGCUGAAUGUAUCUGUAUAUCAGUCGACGUCACGUCUCGUUUGUCGGCCUGCGGCACCACGACGUGACGGCUUCCCUCGGCUGCGCCGACAAACGAAAAGCACGCAUGGCCGACCCUCGCGCGAACUCUUAAUCCGUUUUUACGUAACACUAUUACCGGUUAAUACUUGUGUAGCGGGUAAGUCAUACGCUAUUAGGAAUUACGUGACAGUUAACAAUGUCGACGUAGAUGGCGCGAGCGUCGUCGUACUUGCAAUUAGUCAGUAAGAGAUCUGAAUAACGAAUACGAUAGUCAAGAGAAUGACCAUCAUGUUUCUUUAUAUGUAUUUUUAUAUAUAAAAUAUUUAAAAAAAGAAGGAUAUUUUUCAAACAUAUAUAAAGUUCAAUUUUAAUGUACGAUUUCAAUUUACGUUUAUAAUCCGGACACAUGACUUACGUCGUUACGCGUUAUGGCUACCCAGUGCUAUGGCGGACCGGUAUUACUACUUUUUGAAAGACACACGUAACUUAUAUUGAAAAUGGCAGGACGUGGAACUUACGACAGGAAUGGAACAGCCUGCGUCAUCUCCGAUGAGUCUCUACUCCGUAAAGGCGGACACGUGGACACGUAGGACAGUUGACGAGGAAAGGGAGAUAUCCCCGAGCAUGGGGCCCGUAUAUUGUUUUUAGACGGUAAUGUGGCCGGACGGCUGUCAGGAGAGAAAUCCGCUGUUAAAAAUGUGAAACGCGCUCUUGGAUCCGACGGCUUCUCUAACGAGGAUGUACCGCGGCUGUCUGCUCUCCCGCUGUGGUUGUCCGUUCCGAAUAAUUUUAAUUCCCUUCGAGUCUCCUGACCAUUCGUAAUGUGAGGUAUAUUUUGCAUAUUACAUUUCGCUAUUUGACUAGUUUUCUUUUUCGCAUGCAAUUUUUUUAAAGAAUUUUUAAAAACGUAAUUAACAAAUUUUUUUACAACAAAUCAAAUAUACCGAAUGGAAUUUGUGUCUGGGAUAUAAAAAAUGGUUGAAAGUUCAAACGUGACGACGGAAUAAACUUGUCGAUUGACACAAUGGUAUCCUUUUGCUUAUGUGACGUAACAUGCCGCAGGCAAUUUUUAAUAAUUUUCAAUCGAUCGACCGGUUUCUCAUUCCGCAGCUGUCAAUUGCACAUUGUCAGAAAUGACGAGCACCUGCUCGCCCCGAGCUCAAUGCAGAACGAGCUAUUCUAGGGUUGGCAGGUACAGAGAGAGAGAGAGAGACACAGUCAGAGGGUGCAGUACAGGAGGGAAGGAGGAUAAUCAAAAGAUAGAAAAGUGCUUUUGAAUUUUUAUAAUAAUGGAAUAUCAAGAGGUAGAAAAAUCGUCUCUAACCUUACAUGGUUAACGCCUCCUGAAUCAACCCCUAUGAUUGAGAUUUUGCUCAUCGAACAACGCCUAGUCACCGAAAAAUCGAUCAAAUCGUCACGAAUUAUUGAUAAAAUCAAUAAUAAUUAUUUCCAAACAAUUCAGACGUCCUUUCCAAAAUAAAUUUGUCCGGCGAUGCUCAUAUGACGUAUUGACGUUAUUCUCUUCCGUCUGUCAAUCAAUCUACAACGCAGUCCACAUUCAAGCGUCGGGACGUGGUAUAACCCAUGAAACGAGGCGUCGCGACGAAUUUCUAAGCAGCUAAACCCACAGAGGUCAACCUAUAUUUGAACAAACGAUUGGAAUCGUGUCACGGUAUUUUGAAAAAUUACGUCUCUGUAAUUAUUCAGCAUACCGGGUCCCUAGGAGGAUACCAGAACCUGUCACGCAAACGUGACGUUUAUUGAUGAAGCGUCCAAGAACCAAUAGAAAUCCCACGAGGUCACCAUAAGACAGAUUUCGUCCGAUAAAAUAAUCCACCUAUUGCGCGAUGAGGAGAAAAAUAAUAAUCCAAUCCGCUGACCGAAUGUUAUAUACGUUUUAGUCUUAAUCAAUUCUAUAAUUAUUUUAUUAGAAAUGUCACGUGGUUCUAACUAAUGAAAUACGAGUUGUGAGAUAUAAUUUGAAUAGCAAUUAUACACGUAUCAAUUAUCAUUUCUUUCAUUAUAAUAAUGUGAACCUAAUUGACUGGAGUACCGCAGGUGCUGAAAUAUCUGGAUUCAGAUGGUAUAAUACGUACAAAGAAGAGCAGCAAUCACUUAUCUAUUCCGGGUGACGUAUAUGACUUGAAUUGAUGGGGCCACAUCAAGUACGAAAGUGUUAAUGCUCUAUCCAAUAUUAUUUCUAACUUGAUAGACGCGGGUUAUUUAAAACUAUUAUUACCAAAUUCGGAGA